GCCAGGGCUGCGAGGGCAGGGAUGGUGACCCAGGACAUCCUUCCCGGCCCAGUCAGACCCUGAGGCCACCCUCAGGCACUGCCCACUGCAGAUUUUGGGGGAGCAGCAGCAAGGCUGCCAGGGUGCCAAGGAGCCAGCAGAGAGCUGCAAACAUCUCUCCCUCUCCUCGUCCUCCCCAGCACGGGGGGCUUUCCCCGGGGUAUCCUCACAGAUGCUGACUGCUCACCAAGCCCAGCCCUGGCAGGGGGCACAGCCGUGCCCCACCCUCUGCUCAUUCUGCCUUUCACCGCCGCCCACCCGUCAUUCCUGCCCGAAGCCCAGGCUCAGCCCAAUCUGAGUUAAUUGCAGGAGUCAGACGUCAGCUGCUUUUAUGUAACGCUCCCGUGUAAUUCCAUCUCCUCGUUUCCGCACCCCCACUAAUUUAUUCACUCCAGGUUUCUUUAAAUCAGCCCAGCCUUUUUUUUCCUUGUUUUUUUCCCCCCUUCCACAAGGUCUCUUUGUAAAUCGUGUUCCUAAUGCAAGGACUUGGCAUUCCCUAGGUAGCCAGGGCGAGCGGGAGCAAGCCCCAGGGGACUGGAAGAGCGGGGCAAGCUCCUUCUCCUGGGUUUUGCUGUGCUGAGGCUGCCCACGGUUCCCUCCUUCCCUAAUUACUUCUAUUUCAGUGUUUUCUUCUACUGCUUCAGCAAAGAGACAGGCUAGACUUUUCAAACUUGCAGCAUUAACAUAUGUAUUUUUUUUUUUUAUUCUCUCUACUGAUAAAUGGUGAAGAUUUGAAGCACGGUUAUUGUUCUCCAAUACAAUAAGAUAAAGAAUUACCCUGUGCACUUAUUGAUCUCCCGUAGGGCCAAUACUUAGAAAAAAAACAUCUCUGAUGGAGGAGAGGGCCUUGCCCUCUGUUUCCUCUCGCCAGCUGUGUUGGGAGGUGCUGGGAUGUGCUGGAGUGUGCUGGGAUGGGCUGGGAGGUGAUGGGGUGUGCUGGGGUGUGCUGGGAUGGGAUGUGCUGGCAGGUGCUGGGAUGUGCUGGGAGGUGCUAGGGUGUGCUGGGAGGUGCUGGGACGUGCUGGGGUGUGCUGGGAGGUGUUGGGAUGUGCUGGGGUGUGCUGGGAGGUCCUGGGAUGUGCUGGGAUGUGCUGGGCUGGAGCCCACAGAUGCAGCAGCCGUGGCAGAGCUCUGGCCCCACCAAUGAGCCACCUGAGGACCCAGGUCUCUCUGAGCACUCCUUCUCACAGAAAUGACUCUUCAUUUAGCUCUUGUGUUGACAGGGCUCAAAUUAAGAGGUAAUUGAGGCAGCUCUCAGAGGCAGAGAUGUUCACGAAUCCUUCUGAGCCGCCAGCGGGGCUUGUAGAGAACCCAGCACCCCAAUUCCUGCAGAACUCAGGGAUAAUUACCUCGGGCUUCACCCCCACACCAGGGCUAACCCAGCACCCCAAUUCCUGCAGAAUUCAGGGAUAAUUACCUCGGGCUUCACCCCCACAUCAGGGCUAACCCAGGUG
This 1493-nucleotide long non-coding RNA is filed under the name Ficedula albicollis (Collared flycatcher). RNAcentral describes it as "lncRNA (ENSFALG00000023783.1)". The record is from RNAcentral. Lineage: Eukaryota; Metazoa; Chordata; Aves; Passeriformes; Muscicapidae.